CUGGGGAUCUCAUCCAGCCCAUGCCUGCCUCCUGCUUCCACACAGCCAUCCUGCCGCAGCUCCACUCUCCAGGUUGGGAUGCAAGUUCCUGACCAGCGUUGUCUUCUGGGACAUUGACACAGCAGUCGAGUUUCCUGGUGCUGGAACCUCCAUAGCUGCUGUGAUGACAACGGGGUCUGGCAUUAGAAUUGUGUUUGCUUACUCGAUUAUGACUGCCAGGAACCCACUGUCUGUGAAGCCCCAUGGGAGGCCCUGGGGCUCUUCUGUUUGUGAGGCUUUACAAGGUCAAGCAGCCAAGCCAGCUGUGUUGCCUCUGCCGGACUUAGUGUUAGGUGAGAUAAGUCAGGUUGGCCAUUAGAACAUUUCUCUGUAAUAGAACAUUUAGGUAGAAACAGGCUCCCCUAGCACCUGCUACAACUGAUGGCUUCUUGGGCUGCUCACGCCAAAUUCGUAUGCUCAGCUCUCAAACCAGAAUUUUACAAAUGACUACUCUCUGAUUUUCUCUUGUUUGCCUUUUAUAUUCUGUUCCAUAUCCUUACCACUUACAACUUGCUGUGUUUGUGCUUUGCACUAAAAAUGUUACCCCAGGUUACUUGUGGAAUGCAAAAGUAUAAACCAUCAGAACAUGCAUGUAGCAAUACACGUAUGUUGCCUGUAUUAUAUAUUUAAAUUGUGUAACAGACAUAUAGUGUACAUGCAUGUGUGUAUGACAUUUGUCUAUAGUAGAAAGUAUAGCCUUAAAUGUGACAAAAAGAAAAAAAAUCAGCUAAAUAAACAUUUCCUCUUAAAAAUUA
Molecule: long non-coding RNA, 794 nt
Filed under: Rattus norvegicus (Norway rat)
Lineage: Eukaryota; Metazoa; Chordata; Mammalia; Rodentia; Muridae
Description: long non-coding RNA NONRATT000064
Source: RNAcentral